This 432-nucleotide ribosomal RNA is filed under the name uncultured bacterium. RNAcentral's name for it is "partial 16S ribosomal RNA". It matches the Rfam family "Bacterial small subunit ribosomal RNA", at positions 29 to 507 of the family's 1533-position model. The record is from RNAcentral.
AACGAACGCUGGCGGCAUGCCUAACACAUGCAAGUCGAACGAGACCUUCGGGUCUAGUGGCGCACGGGUGCGUAACGCGUGGGAACCUGCCCUUAGGUUCGGAAGAACUCCCCGAAAGGGGUGCUAAUACCGGAUAAUGUCUUCGGACCAAAGAUUUAUCGCCUUUGGAUGGGCCCGCGUUGGAUUAGCUAGUUGGUAGGGUAAAAGCCUACCAAGGCGACGAUCCAUAGCUGGUCUGAGAGGAUGAUCAGCCACACUGGGACUGAGACACGGCCCAGACUCCUGAGGAAGGGCGCAGUGGGGAAUUUGGGAAACCGGGUGAAAGCAGAACCCCCAAAUGCCGGGUAGGGCAUGAAGGCCUUAGGUUUUGAAAGCUUUUUUCCCCGGGAUGUUAAUGCCAGGACCGGGGGAAUAAGCCCGGCUAAACCCCUG